This 529-nucleotide ribosomal RNA is filed under the name uncultured bacterium. RNAcentral describes it as "bacterial SSU rRNA". It matches the Rfam family "Bacterial small subunit ribosomal RNA", at positions 980 to 1509 of the family's 1533-position model. The record is from RNAcentral.
CUUGACAUCCAGCGAACUUUCCAGAGAUGGAUUGGUGCCUUCGGGAACGCUGAGACAGGUGCUGCAUGGCUGUCGUCAGCUCGUGUUGUGAAAUGUUGGGUUAAGUCCCGCAACGAGCGCAACCCUUAUCCUUUGUUGCUAGCGAUUCGGUCGGGAACUCAAAGGAGACUGCCGGUGAUAAACCGGAGGAAGGUGGGGAUGACGUCAAGUCAUCAUGGCCCUUACGAGUAGGGCUACACACGUGCUACAAUGGCGCAUACAAAGAGAAGCGACCUCGCGAGAGCAAGCGGACCUCAUAAAGUGCGUCGUAGUCCGGAUCGGAGUCUGCAACUCGACUCCGUGAAGUCGGAAUCGCUAGUAAUCGUGGAUCAGAAUGCCACGGUGAAUACGUUCCCGGGCCUUGUACACACCGCCCGUCACACCAUGGGAGUGGGUUGCAAAAGAAGUAGGUAGCUUAACCCUCGGGAGGGCGCUUACCACUUUGUGAUUCAUGACUGGGGUGAAGUCGUAACAAGGUAGGCGUAGCGAG